CACAACAGGAACUCCCCAAAUAGUCUUUUUACUGUGUUGUUAAUUGUGCUCCAUCUUCCAAUGAACUAACACAGUCUUGCAAAAAUGCUCAGAAAAUCUGCAAAUAUGAACUACUUGAGAAAGACGCAGGCACUAACUGGUUAGAAAGAAGAAAUCAACGCCUAGAAGAAAUAAGGACUGCCUUUUCCUUCGUGUUCAGGGUCUGUGUGUAAGGCUGGUGUAUAAAGUGUCAGCGAAGGGCACCCAGGAGCCCUUUCCUAAUGAUCCCAAACAAAUCGCAGGGAGCAAACAAGGCGUGGUUCUGGCUAAUAAACAAGGUCGUAAAGUGAAUCCACCAAUUUCCAAGCUACCAUUGUGUGGGGGGAGAGUUCUUCUUUACGAACUAAAUGCAUUAACUUUUAUGGCAGCUGAUUUCCUUCUGAGAGCUGUGUUGCAUCCCAUUUAUCAAACGGGGUCUACCUUGAGGUGCGUGCGCGUUAUGUUACUAAGAGAGAGAGAGUUCGUCAGGAUGGCGCAAAUUUUAAAACGUGGCUCACCUGUGGGGAGGAAUAAAUGAGAUAAAUGGGGUGAUCAGAGAAAGGAAGCAGUUUACUCAAUCCUCUGUGUGUGUGUGUGCGUGUGCGUGCGUGCGCACGACAAGGAGGCAGGAGUGUAAACAGCAGAGGGGACAGAGAUCAGCCAGUAGGUAAACGCUGGUGACCUCGAGGGCUUAGCCCAGGAGCACACGGGUCAGGGCUACCACUGAGGUAAUGCAUGCACAAUGCACAUAAAGCAGUAGCUGAGAGUCUCUGUUGUCCUGGGACUGGCGCUCUGUUUAGGAAGACAGAUUACACCCCCGGAGCGAUGCCAUGGCAUGCUCUCUGGGCUACUUGGGCCAAAGGAGUUACCGUCCUGACAUCGCAGGAGCUCAGAGAUGUGCCGUGGGCUGCAGUAUUUGGGGAGAAAGAGGUGCUAUUGAGCUGGGCUCUGCAGAGUAGUGCUGCGUGGUUGGCUGGAUGAAAAUGCAUGUGAAGAGAUGUCACAGAGGUAGAGGGAUAAGACAGAUAAGGUGGCUCUGCGGAUUCUGGGACAUCCACGAAUCCCCUGCAUGGCCACAAAUUAUUCCAUCUUUUCCCUUGCAAGAAACAAUGUCGUCUGUAAAGGAAGAUGAUUUGAAUGAACAUAAAGAGAAGACCAAGGGCCAAGGAGGCCUUCUAGAAAUCCUGAAAAGAACAAUUCUAUUGUCGUGCUGGCUUUCUAUUACUUCUAUGAAUAUGUUUGCUAUGUCAAUGCCAAAGACAUGAAAGAGGGAAAACACAGGCUCUCGUAAUGACAGUCGCCUAUGGAAACAGCUGUGAGAGCCAUCACGCCCAAGAACUUAAAGAGAGCUAUGACAUCAUCCUCUGAGUUUUGAAUUCCCUUCCGUCACAGCAUAAAAUAUUUUUAAAAGCAAUUUCUGGACAUCUACUUAGGAGGAGGCUUCGGGUCAGGAGUCAUGCUAAGGAAUGAGUCAUGACGCACCAGGACAAGUCCAUUCACAUGUUGGUCUUUGCGGUCCUUUUGCUCUGUUGCCAACACAGGCCUCCCUGCCAUCACACGGACAGAGGGAAAAAUGAUAGCCUGGGAAAUGAUGACAACAUCUUCUGAAAGUGUCAAGAUCCCGGAGGUCAUUCCUGGACUUGCUGCGUGGUUUUCAUCUUCCUAAUGAGCAACACCUUCUUAGGAAGCAGGCAGGAGCGGAUGUCCUCCGUCUGUAAGUCCUAUUAAAGGUGAGUUCAGCAUCAACUCCUCGGCCUUUUAAGGUACUACUCUCCUUCUCUUCAUUUGCAAUGUCCAUGGGCACAAAACCCAAGUCAUGAUCUUAUCCUUUGGCUCUCUUCCCUCAGCCACAGGGCAACCUCUGCUAACUCAUCAUGGAGCAGGGCCUGUCAUCUAUGGAGAGGCCGAAGCCAGUAACACAGACUCCUGUAGUUAUUUCGCUGCAGUUCCUGCUUCUCUCAUUUCUACUCCCUCAGCAUUUCUCCUGCCUGUCCCUCCCCCCGCCCCCAUCCCUACUGCCAUCGAUCGGGUCUCACCAUUGCACAACGGGAAUAUUACAACAUCUCCUAACUGGCCUCCUUGGCUCUCCUGUAACUUCUUCUCCAUGAGGAAUCAGGAGGUGUCAUUCAAACACAAUGCUGGUCAUGUCACUCUCCUGGUUUAAAUCUUUCCUGCUCUGAAAGUAGGGUUCAAACAAGCUGGCGUAGAAAAGUCUUCAGGAUCUGACCCCUGUGGGCCUCAUGAACUUUAUCUUAGCACAUCCUUCAUGUCUUAUCCCACAGUCCAGCCAGGCUGAAUUGUUUUCGGGAACUCUGACUGCCCCCCACUCCUUCCUGCUCCCAUGGCUUUGUUCAGGCUGCUCCUGUGUGGAAUGUUCUCUUCAGUGAGAAGUACUGCCUGGCCCACAAAACCGCUUUAGUUCAAGAAUUAUCUAUGACGUCUCUCCUAUCUGCUCCCCUAAGAAUAAUCAUUUCGAAUUCAGUGCUCCCUCCAAAGCUGUUCCUUCUCUGGUAUCACACAUCCCACCCUGUGCUGUCUGGUUUCCCGGUCUGUCUUCCCCUCCAGGCUGAGGGUGAGGGCUGACGUCAUGUUCGUCCCCGUGGUGUCUUCACUCAUUUGUGUUGACAACGAUGAGUUAACUGUGAGUUCUCUGUUAAACCCGGCCAGAGGAAAUGCUAGAAAGAUGCUGCAAGACUAGAGGAGGACGAAGGGACAGUCUCCUUCCUGUGUGCCACUUUCUGACUCCUCGUCUGCUUCCUACUCCUGGGAGGAGCAUCCCAGCCCUCUUCCUCACGUUCCUGCAGCAGCAGCUGAGUCCCGUUUGCAAUUUCUUCAACCCUCGCAGAACCAGCCUCGCGGUGUCCCCCAAGAGACACCAGCAGUGGGUCAGCACUCUCUCCUCAGAGGCGUAGGUCCUGGUCUCUACAGAGCCCAGCGCCUCCGUUUCUAAGUUUUAAUAAUUCCAACCUCUUUCCUUGCUGUCCAUAGACAUGAGAGCUGCUUCCGGCAGUGGCCACCUCUGUGAUGCAGUCAAGUUGUCUUUACACUGUUUAGUGACCUAGUUGAUAACAUAGCUGGUUAACAAUUCUUUUUAUUAAUCUAUUAAAACUUUCUGACCUCAUCCUGAUGGAUACAGUCACCGAACCAAAGAAAUUCUUUAACAUGAGAGUGUCUGAUUCAGAUUUCUUCCUGUAACAACGCUGCUGGGUUAAAACCCAUUUUAUAAAUAUGGCGCCAUCACAUCAACGCUUACCCCCAAAACAUGUGUUGAAUUUGUAAUGUUUUUGCCCAUCACUUACUUCGGUAACCCUUUUUUUUCUAGGUGUUAAAUGCGACACCAUUGAUUCAGAGGACCCUGGCUAAUUUAUGCUGGUCACUUCCUGCAGGAUCCAGAUCAAACUCUUUGUGCCUGGCCCUACCUUGGACCAACCGUGCUCCUGCUUCUCAUUCCAGUCCUGCUGUGACAGGGGCCACCAUCUGGAGCAUCUGACCACGUACUCUACCGGUACAGAGAGGAGCAGCAGCACCAGAGAAGGAAGUGAAGGAGAAAUAGCAGCAAGGCUGCAGAAGAAAAUACACCCGACAUGGAUAAUCUUCUAUUGAUGAAGGAGAAUUGUGUCCUCUGCAUGGUGGGACUGUGACUCAUUAGAGCUCCUGAAUUAAAGAGGAAGGUCUCCCUGCUGAUUCUGCUUCCUUGGGUUUGUUGGUGGUUAUUAUUAUUCCCUAAUAUAAGAAAGACAGCAGUGCCCUACUCUGAGAGAGGAUCAUUCUUCUGGGCAUCACAUGCUGCUGAAAAAAAUCCACUCAUGAAUUCGGAGCACAGCCAGGACUAAAUUGUAGCUCCUCGCUGUCCUGCAAGAAAUGGUCCCUAAAUGUAAUUCCCCUGAAUGAUUGGACUAGAUGGCAACUCAGGCUGAGUGAGAUGGAUGAGAUGGAAAUGACUCUCCAAGUAUGAUUUAAUGACAGAAAGGGCACAGUGUAUAUGAUCGGGCAUAUUCUCUUUCCCAACACAGGUCCAUUCAUCCAUUCAUUCUUCCCUUCUUUCCAUCUUCAUUUACUGCAUGCCCUUCUGCAGCCGGGCCCUGGGUGCAGUACUAAGGAUACCUCUCCUGGGCUGUUGGAAGGAAGUGGCAGGUCAUACAUCAGUGCCUGAACAGCAAACCAUUAGACUUUCACCUUCCUUUGUGGUGGAAGGGAAAGCCCAUUUUAAAUCUCUUAAAAUGGAUUAUGAAAUUCUAUAAGGAUGUACCAAGUGAGAGAAAAUAACACAAGGAACCCUCAUCUGCCCAUCAUCUACCUCUAUCAAAUCUCAACAUUUUGAGUGAUUUGCUUUAGGUUUUUUUUUUUUUUAAUGUAAAAGAUGACAACUAUAAUUGAAAUCAUCCAGGUAGCCCACCUUUAAGCUACCCUCAGGUAGCCAUCAUCAUAAAUUGGUGUUUAUCAUUCACAUUCAUGUUUUAUACUAUGCUUCACAACAUGUGUCUUAAGAAUAACAAGUAGGACUCUUUUAUAUACUUUCAAGCUUUAUACAAAUGGUAUCCUGUUAUACCUGUUCUUCUGUAGUUUGCUUUUUACAUUCAUUAUGUUUCUGAGAUAUGUUUAUGUUAAUAUCCAUUCAUUUCAAUUCUUAUGUAAUAUCCCAUGGUAUUAUUAUAAUACUAUAACUUAUUUAACCAAGCUUAUGGUCAUAUAGGUAGUUUCCCCUUAUUGUGUGCUAUUACGAACAACAUUGCAAUCUAUGGUCUGUAAAUCUCCUGUUUCAUGAUAUGCCGUUAUGGUUUCCAUAGAUUAUAUGCCAGGAAGCAGAGUCUCUAGCUCACAGCGAUUACCACCGGGAACAAAGCCAUAUGGGAGAAGUUUCAUCUCUCCACACCUUUGCUCACACUUAUUAUGAUCAUAAUUCUAAAAUUUUGGUCACCGUAUGUGUGACUGGGUCACCUUGCUGCACAGUAGAAAAUUGACAGAACACUGUAAACUGGGUAUAAUGGAAAAAAUAAAAAUCAUUAUAAAGCAAAUAAAAUAAAAUAAAAUUUUGGCCACCUU
This is a non-coding RNA of Sus scrofa (pig), 5061 nucleotides long. Lineage: Eukaryota; Metazoa; Chordata; Mammalia; Artiodactyla; Suidae. The record is from RefSeq and is a predicted model, not a curated record.